RNAcentral lists this unclassified non-coding RNA (145 nucleotides) under soil metagenome. RNAcentral's name for it is "partial internal transcribed spacer 1". The record is from RNAcentral.
UAAUAAGUGUUUUAUGGCACUUUUUAAAUCCAUAUCCACCUUGUGUGCAAUGUCAGUCGAUCUUCUUCAUGGAGAUCGACCAAACAUCAACCUUUAUCUUUUAACUCUUUGUCUGAAAAAUAUUAUGAAUAAACAGUUCAAAAUA